CCCUUAGAUGUUCUGGGCAGCACGCGCGCUACAAUGGUCUUCGCAAACGGAUGCAUUCUCGAAGGAGAAUGCCAAUCUUGGAAUCUAUGCCUUGGUCGGGACAGUUGCUUGCAAUUUUUCGACUCGAACCAGGAAUUCCUUGUAAUCGUGAUUCAUCACAUCACGAUGAAUACGUCCCUGCCCUUUGUACACACCGCCCGUCGCUCCUACCGAUCGAAGAGUUAGGUGAAUUGUUUUGAUCGAUAAGAUUUGACUAUGGUCAACUCUCGUUGUGAAAUCCUGUGAAUCUGACUGUUUAGAGGAAGGAAAAGUCGUAACA
This 319-nucleotide ribosomal RNA is filed under the name uncultured eukaryote. Its description in RNAcentral is "partial 18S ribosomal RNA". It matches the Rfam family "Eukaryotic small subunit ribosomal RNA", at positions 1470 to 1796 of the family's 1831-position model. The record is from RNAcentral.